GGUCCUGCUGGAAAGAAAACAGACCCGACUCUGCAAAACUAACUGCAUAGCUGAGGCCGUUUUGUCUUUACGAAUAUAAUUUAUUCAUCAAGUUUAAAGAAAUCUACAGAUUAGUGGGGAGAGUUGCUGGAUGAAGAGAGAACUUCUGUAAUUAGAAAUUUGAAGAGGGGCACCUGGGUGGCUCAGUCGGUUAAGUAUCCGACUUGAUUUCGGCUCAGGUCAUGAUCUCACGGUUUGUGAGUAUGAGCCCUGAAGUGGGCUCCAUGCUGAAGAAAAAGAAAUCUGAGAAGGAACAAAUCCAAAAUUGCUUACGACAGCCAUGUCCAAAUACCCUACCUCUUCCAUCCACCCGUCUUCUCGGGGAAGCCUCUGCAACCGGUUUCUCGUCAGCUCAAGCUGCAGGCCAUCAAACCUGCACUUAAACCAGCGAUGAGCUUCUUCCAGAUGAGAGAGAUUUCUGAAUGCAGAGCUGAGGGAUGCCUGCAAGCCUGUUGCUUUUUCAUGCAUUUGUUCCUAUUUCUUGGGUGUGACCUAAGGUCUGUUUGUAUACCCUAAUGCCGGUGAUACUCACACCCUGCCCCCCACCAAAGGCAGUGUCCAGCACUCUUUACCAGGAGUGGAGGGAAAGAUGCUUGAAAUGGCCCUGUACAUCCAUCCUAUCUCCUCUUGUUUGGUAAAUGAGAAGGGAGGCACCGUUUACUGAAACUUACUCUGAGCCAUCUAACAGAACAACGGAAAGGUAAGUCUCAAUACCCUGACUUUUCUAGAUGUGGUAACUGAUGAGUUAAAGGAAGUAAAUGUAAAUUCCUUAAGGGCACUGUGUCACAGUGUGACAAACUCAUGUGACAGUGUUCAAACUCAUGUGUGUCUGAGUCCAUAUUCCCUUUAAUAUUCCACUGUGACAGUCAUGUUGUCUUGUAAUUUAGUGGCUGUAAAAGGCACACACAUCAUGACCAACUGACAAAAACAUCACUGUGAUACCUUAGAAGCUGUUUUCCUUAUCUGGAAAAUGAGGAAUGGUUGUGGCAGACCAUGAUUUCAAAGACCCUUUCCAGCUCUAAAAAAUGUAUAAUUUUAAAUACCUUCAAAUAGGCCAAUUUAAGACUAGAGAAAGGAAAAUCACAAAGUAAGAGGGCCUACUCAGGGGACCUGACGGGCUCAGUCUGAAGAGUAUAUGAUUCUCAAUCUCAGGGACAUGAGUUUGAGCCCCACAUUGCAUGUAGAAAUUACCUAAAUUAAAAAAAAAAAA
This is a long non-coding RNA of Lynx canadensis (Canada lynx), 1249 nucleotides long. RefSeq lists it as uncharacterized. The transcript is spliced from 4 exons. Lineage: Eukaryota; Metazoa; Chordata; Mammalia; Carnivora; Felidae. The record is from RefSeq and is a predicted model, not a curated record.